AGUGAACGCUGGCGGCAGGCCUAAUACAUGCAAGUCGAACGGCAGCACAGUGGAGCUUGCUCCAUGGGUGGCGAGUGGCGGACGGGUGAGGAAUACAUGGGAAUCUGCCCAGUCGUGGGGGAUAACGUAGGGAAACUUACGCUAAUACCGCAUGCGCCCUUCGGGGGAAAGCCGGGGACCUUCGGGCCUGGCGCGAUUGGAUGAGCCCAUGUUCGAUUAGCUAGUUGGCGGGGUAAAGGCCCACCAAGGCGACGAGCGAUAGCUGGUCUGAGAGGAUGAUCAGCCACACUGGGACUGAGACACGGCCCAGACUCCUACGGGAGGCAGCAGUAGGGAAUAUUGGACAAUGGGCGCAAGCCUGAUCCAGCCAUGCCGCGUGAGUGAAGAAGGCCCUCGGGUUGUAAAGCUCUUUUGUCCGGGAAGAAAAGCAUCGGGCUAAUACCUCGGUGUUCUGACGGUACCGGAAGAAUAAGCACCGGCUAACUUCGUG
This 490-nucleotide ribosomal RNA is filed under the name uncultured bacterium. RNAcentral describes it as "partial 16S ribosomal RNA". It matches the Rfam family "Bacterial small subunit ribosomal RNA", at positions 29 to 507 of the family's 1533-position model. The record is from RNAcentral.